UUCCUGCGGUCAGACGGAAAGACCCCGUGCACCUUUACUGUAGCUUUGCGCUGGCCUUCGUGUCGGCAUGUGUAGGAUAGGUGGUAGGCUUUGAAGCCGGGGCGUCAGCCCUGGUGGAGCCGUCCUUGAAAUACCACCCUUGGCGAUAUGGUGGUCUAACCGCGACCCUUGAUCGGGGUCCGGGACCGCGCAUGGCAGGCAGUUUGACUGGGGCGGUCGCCUCCCAAAGCGUAACGGAGGCGUACGAAGGUGGGCUCAGAGCGGUCGGAAAUCGCUCGUCGCGUGCAAUGGCA
RNAcentral lists this ribosomal RNA (293 nucleotides) under Clostridioides difficile. Its description in RNAcentral is "partial 23S ribosomal RNA". It matches the Rfam family "Bacterial large subunit ribosomal RNA", at positions 2067 to 2359 of the family's 2925-position model. The record is from RNAcentral. Lineage: Bacteria; Bacillati; Bacillota; Clostridia; Peptostreptococcales; Peptostreptococcaceae.